Molecule: ribosomal RNA, 468 nt
Filed under: uncultured bacterium
Lineage: Bacteria
Description: partial 16S ribosomal RNA
Rfam family: Bacterial small subunit ribosomal RNA
Source: RNAcentral
GACGAACGCUGGCGGCGUGCUUAACACAUGCAAGUCGAACGGAAAGGCCCUGCUUUUGUGGGGUGCUCGAGUGGCGAACGGGUGAGUAACACGUGAGUAACCUGCCCUUGACUUUGGGAUAACUUCAGGAAACUGGGGCUAAUACCGGAUAGGAUCUCCUGCUUCUUGGUGGGGGUUGGAAAGUUUCGGCGGUUGGGGUUGGACUGGCGUCUUAUCAGCUUGUUGGUUGGGUAGUGGCUUACCAAGGCUUGGACGGGUAGCCGGGCUGAGAGGGUGACCGGACAAGUUGGGACGGAGAUGCGGCACGGACCCGUACGGGACGCAAGGGAGGGGAAGAGAACACAAGGGGAGGGAGGAAGAUGCGACAACGCAGCGUGGGGGAUGAGGGGCAUCGGGUAGGAUUCCGCUGCCGCCUGUGACGAAGCGAGAAUGACGGUAAUGGGUAAAGAAGCACCGGCUAACUACGUG